RNAcentral lists this long non-coding RNA (1044 nucleotides) under Rattus norvegicus (Norway rat). Its description in RNAcentral is "long non-coding RNA NONRATT000099". Lineage: Eukaryota; Metazoa; Chordata; Mammalia; Rodentia; Muridae. The record is from RNAcentral.
AAAGCGAGAAACGGAGCUCGAGCCUUGGGGGGCUCCUAGCAACGGGCCGGGGCGGGAGUUCCAUGGAGACUGGGGAGCGAACCCGUUUCAUCUUCAUCCUUGUCCUCCAGCUUCUUCUCCGCGUCCGACGCAACCAGCAGCAGCGCUGCCGCCGCGUCCUUUACGACCGCCCCGUCUUCCCACGACAGAAGACAAGUUGUUGGAGUUCUUUUCAUCUAUCGUGAUGUGAUCUUCGUGGUGGGAAACCAAGUUUCUAAACUACCCCAAUGGAUGCAGACAGUGAUGUUGCAUUGGACAUUUUAAUUACAAAUGUAGUCUGUGUUUUUAGAACAAGAUGCCAUUUGAACUUAAGGAAGAUUGCUUUGGAGGGAGCAAAUGUAAUUUAUAAGCGUGAUGUUGGGAAAGUAUUAAUGAAGCUUAGAAAACCUAGAAUUACAGCUACAAUUUGGUCCUCAGGAAAAAUUAUUUGCACUGGAGCAACGAGUGAAGAAGAAGCUAAAUUUGGUGCCAGACGUUUAGCCCGUAGUCUGCAGAAACUAGGUUUUCAGAAUUCACAAAGAACAACAGACCUCAUGCCAGGGCCCAAUGUAAAGGCUGUGGCCACAGCCGUGGAGCAGAUCUACCCAUUCGUGUUUGAAAGCAGGAAGGAGAUUUUGUAACUCAGACUUCGUUGGUUAGAGUCUCUAACUGAGCACCAUUUGAAACCUGCUGCACAUUGGACUCGAAACACAAGGAAAACUGGACCAACAGUGACUGAGGACAGAGACUCGUACUCACGGCUACAGUGUAAGCUCCAGUCUCUUUGGAUUUUACUUCAACCUUUGCUGUAAUAUAAAAAGGAAGUUUACAAGACAUGACAUUGCUGCUUUUACAAAAGGACGUUCUAUUUAUUUUCGCAGUGAUCUCAUGUCCCCACAGGCAGAGCUGUCGCAGUGUGCACUACCUUACAGUUGUUUUAUUGAUGUCAUUAUUUUUCCAGUUGGAGCUAAUGUGUUUGAUUUGUGAAUAGUCUUUUACAUUUUUGUAUGCUGAAUAUAGGCACCA